UCUAUCUGUCCUGUGUCUGUGCGUGUAUAGUGCAGUCUAUACAUUGUGUCUUCAACCGGUUUAUCUGCCUCUAAUUUUAACGUAUAAAUUUGUCCUUCUGUCUUGUUACUUUACGGCGCUCACACGGUUAACCUUCAUGCCUGAAGUUUCCCCCUUUUCUCUUUCUCCCCUUUUUUGCACUCUGUCCUCCCCUCCCCCCUCCCCUCUUGCUUUCUGUGAUGUACAGACCUAGGGGACAGGAGUGACAUGCCUGCAUUUCAGAGCUACUGAAAUAUUUUAAUUGUGUAAUAUUGUGUGCAUUGUUAUAU
Pelobates cultripes (western spadefoot toad) is the source of this 308-nucleotide non-coding RNA. Lineage: Eukaryota; Metazoa; Chordata; Amphibia; Anura; Pelobatidae. The record is from the annotation of a GenBank genome assembly.